RNAcentral lists this ribosomal RNA (230 nucleotides) under uncultured bacterium. RNAcentral's name for it is "partial 16S ribosomal RNA". It matches the Rfam family "Bacterial small subunit ribosomal RNA", at positions 92 to 339 of the family's 1533-position model. The record is from RNAcentral.
UUAGUGGCAGACGGGUGAGUAACAUGUGGGUAUCUACCCUUUGGCCUGGAAUAACACGAGGAAACUUGUGCUAAUACCGGAUAAGCCCUUACGGGGAAAGUUUUAAUGCCAAAAGAUGAGCCCGCACUUGAUUAGCUAGUUGGUAAGGUAAUGGCUUACCAAGGCGACAAUCAAUAGCUGAUUUGAGAGGAUGAUCAGCCACAUUGGGACUGAGACACGGCCCAAACUCC